GAUGAACGCUGGCGGCGUGCCUAAUACAUGCAAGUCGAGCGAACAGACGAGGAGCUUGCUCCUCUGACGUUAGCGGCGGACGGGUGAGUAACACGUGGAUAACCUACCUAUAAGACUGGGAUAACUUCGGGAAACCGGAGCUAAUACCGGAUAAUAUAUUGAACCGCAUGGUUCAAUAGUGAAAGACGGUUUUGCUGUCACUUAUAGAUGGAUCCGCGCCGCAUUAGCUAGUUGGUAAGGUAACGGCUUACCAAGGCAACGAUGCGUAGCCGACCUGAGAGGGUGAUCGGCCACACUAGAACUGAGACACGGUCCAGACUCCUACGGGAGGCAGCAGUAGGGAAUCUUACGCAAUGGACGAAAGCCUGACGGAGCAACGCCGCGUGAGUGAUGAAGGUCUUCGGAUCGUAAAACUCUGUUAUUAGGGAAGAACAAAUGUGUAAGUAACUGUGCACGUCUUGACGGUACCUAAUCAGAAAGCCACGGCUAACUACGUG
RNAcentral lists this ribosomal RNA (497 nucleotides) under uncultured bacterium. Its description in RNAcentral is "partial 16S ribosomal RNA". It matches the Rfam family "Bacterial small subunit ribosomal RNA", at positions 28 to 507 of the family's 1533-position model. The record is from RNAcentral.